GCUAGGCUGCUUCCAGUCAAUACUGGGGAGCUCCUUGGUUCGGUAGGGGUGGCGUGCGGAGUUGGUUUCCAGCGUCCUGUCUCGCUGGUCGUCGGCCGCGCCGUAGGCGGAGUCGGAGCUGCUUGUCUUGCAAGCUCAGCAACGAUGACCCUCAACAGACGUCCCGGCAACGCGGCGAGGGUUUGGAGGUGGAGCAUUUUGAGAGAGCCUCGGCAUGAAAACCUUGCCUAG
RNAcentral lists this long non-coding RNA (231 nucleotides) under Oryza sativa Indica Group (long-grained rice). Its description in RNAcentral is "lncRNA OsIR64_11g0000200". Lineage: Eukaryota; Viridiplantae; Streptophyta; Magnoliopsida; Poales; Poaceae. The record is from RNAcentral. RNAcentral also lists the same sequence under 2 other names.